AGUGAACGCUGGCGGUAGGCCUAACACGUGCAAGUCGAACGGCAGCACAGUAAGGGCUUGCUCUUACGGGUGGCGAGUGGCGGACGGGUGAGGAAUACAUCGGAAUCUACUUUUUCGUGGGGGAUAACGUAGGGAAACUUACGCUAAUACCGCAUACGACCUACGGGUGAAAGCAGGGGAUCUUCGGACCUUGCGCGAUUGAAUGAGCCGAUGUCGGAUUAGCUAGUUGGCGGGGUAAAGGCCCACCAAGGCGACGAUCCGUAGCUGGUCUGAGAGGAUGAUCAGCCACACUGGAACUGAGACACGGUCCAGACUCCUACGGGAGGCAGCAGUGGGGAAUAUUGGACAAUGGGCGCAAGCCUGAUCCAGCCAUACCGCGUGGGUGAAGAAGGCCUUCGGGUUGUAAAGCCCUUUUGUUGGGAAAGAAAAGCAGCAGGUUAAUACCCCGCUGUUCUGACGGUACCCAAAGAAUAAGCACCGGCUAACUUCGU
Molecule: ribosomal RNA, 491 nt
Filed under: uncultured bacterium
Lineage: Bacteria
Description: partial 16S ribosomal RNA
Rfam family: Bacterial small subunit ribosomal RNA
Source: RNAcentral